AUUGAACGCUGGCGGCAGGCCUAACACAUGCAAGUCGAGCGGAUGAAGGGAGCUUGCUCCUGGAUUCAGCGGCGGACGGGUGAGUAAUGCCUAGGAAUCUGCCUGGUAGUGGGGGAUAACGUCCGGAAACGGGCGCUAAUACCGCAUACGUCCUGAGGGAGAAAGUGGGGGAUCUUCGGACCUCACGCUAUCAGAUGAGCCUAGGUCGGAUUAGCUAGUUGGUGGGGUAAAGGCCUACCAAGGCGACGAUCCGUAACUGGUCUGAGAGGAUGAUCAGUCAAACUGGAACUGAGACACGGUCCAGACUCCUACGGGAGGCAGCAGUGGGGAAUAUUGGACAAUGGGCGAAAGCCUGAUCCAGCCAUGCCGCGUGUGUGAAGAAGGUCUUCGGAUUGUAAAGCACUUUAAGUUGGGAGGAAGGGAAGUAAGUUAAUACCUUGCUGUUUUGACGUUACCAACAGAAUAAGCACCGGCUAACUUCGUG
RNAcentral lists this ribosomal RNA (484 nucleotides) under uncultured bacterium. RNAcentral's name for it is "partial 16S ribosomal RNA". It matches the Rfam family "Bacterial small subunit ribosomal RNA", at positions 30 to 507 of the family's 1533-position model. The record is from RNAcentral.